CCCGGAUUUGGAAAGAAGGUCCGGUCCAGGUGGGCCCCGAUGCCUCCUGGGGGAACUGGAAGAAAAGGACAGGAGAGGGAUCUUGUUUUGGACCUGUGAUCCCAUCGAUGUGAGGAACUCUCUGUGAAGAAACUCCAACUAAACAUAGAUACCUAACCUAUUCCACUGAUGAGAAGAAAAUUCUUCAAAGAAAGCAGUUUCAGUAGUUCAGUUGGAAAAGAAGUCAGACUGCAGCACAGGAAUGGUGAGAAAGUGAAGAGAACCACUUCACAUUUUGCUGUGGAGCAAACUUCAGAUUUGUUCUGUGGUGAUGCAGCCCCUGCCCAGAAUCCAUCUAGGAAUUAUCAUUCUACACAUCAAAAUAUGAGAUCUGUGGUGUCUUCAUAGAUCAUUCUCCCCACCCCAAUUGUCAGGACUCUCCCCUUUCCCCUGCAUCUGUAGACUCAGAAACUCCA
Non-coding RNA from Phascolarctos cinereus (koala), 455 nucleotides. Lineage: Eukaryota; Metazoa; Chordata; Mammalia; Diprotodontia; Phascolarctidae. The record is from RefSeq and is a predicted model, not a curated record.